RNAcentral lists this long non-coding RNA (1676 nucleotides) under Pogona vitticeps (central bearded dragon). Its description in RNAcentral is "lncRNA (ENSPVIG00000010810.1)". The record is from RNAcentral. Lineage: Eukaryota; Metazoa; Chordata; Lepidosauria; Squamata; Agamidae.
GCUGAAGUCCAAGAACAUCUGGAGGGCCAAGGUUGGGGACCACUGCCCUACAGUGAUUAGGACAGCAGCUUUGCUUGCCAUAAAACUUAUGUAGGUAGAACAUUGGGAGGUGGGGGGUGGAGCUGGCCCAAUUCCAUCAGCCACCCAAUCUCUGACCCUCAAAUUGCACUGUAAAUGAUCAGGCACAUAUGUCUGAAGGCGCCCUAAAUCAGACCUUAAAUCAAACAUGUGGUUUGCUCCAACACUCUUGCACAGGAAGAGUAUAUUAAUCCAUUCAUCAGCUUCCUUCCUUCUAGCUUGAAAAGAUACCAAACUCUCUGGGCAGCUUCUGAUAAUCAAAAUUCAGUCAUUUAUGGGCAGACGGCGCUGUGUGAGCAAGGGUCCUGUUUGAUAACAAAUUUAGCAGACCUCGGGGGGGGUGUUCUCAGGUUGCAUAUAUCAGUGCACAAGUGAGGAAUUAGUUAACGGUUGCAAAAUAUAUUUGUGUAUUUGGUCACUUCCUGAGCUACAAAGUGGUGCCAAAAGAUCUGACUUCUAACUAACUGCCCGACACAUGUGGUUUCUGCAUGCUAUGAAUUACACACACCCAAACAGGCUCUCCCCCCACCACACACAGGUGAAUACUAGUUGGAAAAGGGAAGGUCUUGGGAAGAAUAUACAACUCUGGAAUCAUCUGCAAAGUGAUCUUCCUCUUCAAGAUACAUAGGAGUGGAACUGCCUCUUACAGAGAGCACCUUGUUUGAAGAAGGAAUUCCUUAAGUGCUGAAAGCAUUUGAAAUCUCGUGUGAUGCAGAAAUUAUAUGAUGAAUUAAUUUUUGCUUCAUUUUGUGAUCGGUCUUUGGGAGGUAAAUAUGGGCUUUGCAAAUACGAUUUCUGAGACAGAAAUUUCUGUAGAAUCAUGGACUUUGAACACUAACAUGAUUUCAAGCUGUCAGCGAUGUGUUAUCUGCAAAAUAUCAUUUGGCUUCAGUGGCAAAGUUUAGCGUUUAAACAGGAAUAUUCCUACAUACUGUAUAUCUGAAGUAUGGAGAAACAGGAAGUGGUAGCUUUGGCGGCUUCUCCCUCUCGUAUCCUGAAACCCUGCUUCUGCCAUUCUAUGUUUGUAUCUAAGAUCACCUUGCAAUCUUAGGCUGCAGGUCUAAUGCUGAGUGUGGUGGGUGGGUGAUGAGGCUGAAGUGCCCAGCUGGCAGGGGAGAGAAGCUCUGCCAUCAAGGAGGUGGCACAGCCUCUGCAGAGGCCCCAGUUACAUCUUUAUGAUGGCAGAAAGCUCCUGCUUUGGUGUUUCUGCCCAACAGCAGGCCCUCUCGUGUCUCUCGGAGACAGUCUUGAACCCACUGAGGGAAUGGAGUAGGUCUAUCAAUUAUGCCAGUCUGUAGCUUGUGUCGUUAAUUGUUUUCCCGUUGGUUUUUGUGGUGGCGGUGAAAAUGAUUCAAAACAAAGAUAUACUACUGUUGAUUUUAGAGCUUCACAGCUUCCUGCUACCCUCUGCAAAAACUGAAAGGGCCUUUGGGAGUGGUGGAGUCUCUGUCAGUUUAUCUCCCCAGAGCACCACAAAGCUCUCUUAGGAUCUUUUUGUCCACCGUUUCCUUUUAAAGCUCAAAAUCCUAAAUCUUUAGCUGCUUUUUAAAAUUCCUGUUCUCAGUAAGGUUUGACAUUUAGGCUAUAAUUACACUGGA